RNAcentral lists this transfer RNA (88 nucleotides) under Legionella sp. RNAcentral's name for it is "tRNA-Ser". It matches the Rfam family "tRNA". From Rfam's summary of the family: Transfer RNA (tRNA) molecules are approximately 80 nucleotides in length. Their secondary structure includes four short double-helical elements and three loops (D, anti-codon, and T loops). Further hydrogen bonds mediate the characteristic L-shaped molecular structure. tRNAs have two regions of fundamental functional importance: the anti-codon, which is responsible for specific mRNA codon recognition, and the 3' end, to which the tRNAs corresponding amino acid is attached (by aminoacyl-tRNA synthetases). tRNAs cope with the degeneracy of the genetic code in two manners: having more than one tRNA (with a specific anti-codon) for a particular amino acid; and 'wobble' base-pairing, i.e. permitting non-standard base-pairing at the 3rd anti-codon position. Lineage: Bacteria; Pseudomonadati; Pseudomonadota; Gammaproteobacteria; Legionellales; Legionellaceae. RNAcentral also lists the same sequence under 11 other names. The record is from RNAcentral.
GGAGAGGUGGCCGAGUGGUUGAAGGCGCACGCCUGGAAAGUGUGUAUACGGCAACGUAUCGAGGGUUCGAAUCCCUCUCUCUCCGCCA